Molecule: ribosomal RNA, 429 nt
Filed under: bacterium
Lineage: Bacteria
Description: partial 16S ribosomal RNA
Rfam family: Bacterial small subunit ribosomal RNA
Source: RNAcentral
UAGGGAAUCUUCCACAAUGGACGCAAGUCUGAUGGAGCAACGCCGCGUGAGUGAAGAAGGUUUUCGGAUCGUAAAGCUCUGUUGUUGGUGAAGAAGGAUAGAGGUAGUAACUGGCCUUUAUUUGACGGUAAUCAACCAGAAAGUCACGGCUAACUACGUGCCAGCAGCCGCGGUAAUACGUAGGUGGCAAGCGUUGUCCGGAUUUAUUGGGCGUAAAGCGAGCGCAGGCGGAAGAAUAAGUCUGAUGUGAAAGCCCUCGGCUUAACCGAGGAACUGCAUCGGAAACUGUUUUUCUUGAGUGAAGAAGAGGAGAGUGGAAUUCCAUGUGUAGCGGUAGAAUGCGUAGAUAUAUGGAAGAACACCAGUGGCGAAGGCGACUCUCUGGUCUGCAACUGACGCUGAGGCUCGAAAGCAUGGGUAGCGAGCAGG